CAAAUAUUGAAGGAAGGAAUGAGGGUGAGAGAGAGCAACGGUUUUCCAAGGGCCUGCACAGGAAAGAGACAGAAGGGCUCCAGUUGUCUUCUGUAACUGCCCCCAGCAGCUUCAGGCUCCAGGCAGGGAGCAAGGAAGCUAUCAGUACCUGGCAAUAUCAGAUUCUGUGCUGCGCCCCACCACCGUGAUGUCAACUCUAUGGAUGCUUUUGUCUUUUUUUGGCCUUGGGAGGGACCCCGUGGCAGAGGCUGCAGAGACCGGACUGGGGGCUUGAAGGUUUUGAUCCCGGUUCUGCUCUUGCUGUCUUUGUGGCCUUGAACAAAUCACAGCACCUUUCUGCACCUGGAUUUGACGGUAAGUAGAAUGGUAAUAGUAGUGUCUGCCAUGGCUAGCUCCUAGGGAAGUCCUGGGGGUCAAAGGAUCUUUGGGGGACUGAGUGGGGUGUGCCGCCAGAAGUCAACAAACCUUCACCCCUGGCUGGGGUAAAGAGGAAGGGAGAAAAGGAAUAGCAACUAAAGCAGGCUGACCAAGAGAUGAAGAUGACGGGGGUGAGCUGGACAGGAACCAAGCAGAAGCUGGGGAAGGAAGUCGUUUGAGCAGCACUGCCGCGAGUGAGUCUGGAUAUACAGUCAGCCACAAAGAUCUGGGAAGUGUUUUUCCAGCGUACAAGUUGCUCAUAACCUUGCGUGGCAGACAUUAUUUGUUUGUAAUAUGGAGAUGCUAUGCAUUUUGACCUUUCUAGAUUGUGUCUAGCUGGUUCAUG
RNAcentral lists this long non-coding RNA (763 nucleotides) under Pan troglodytes (chimpanzee). RNAcentral's name for it is "long non-coding RNA NONPTRT010186". Lineage: Eukaryota; Metazoa; Chordata; Mammalia; Primates; Hominidae. The record is from RNAcentral.